AUUUUAUCUAAUUUUUAGUACGAAAGGACCAAAGUUAGAAAAUAUUUUUUUGUUGUUGAAUACUAAUAACUAUUUUGGCAGAAAAGUGCCAUGAAUUUAGAAUUCAUAAAUGUAAGAUUACCUUACAGAUAGUAC
RNAcentral lists this unclassified non-coding RNA (135 nucleotides) under Crocothemis servilia. RNAcentral's name for it is "partial contains 16S ribosomal RNA and tRNA-Leu". Lineage: Eukaryota; Metazoa; Arthropoda; Insecta; Odonata; Libellulidae. The record is from RNAcentral.